RNAcentral lists this ribosomal RNA (424 nucleotides) under uncultured bacterium. RNAcentral describes it as "bacterial SSU rRNA". It matches the Rfam family "Bacterial small subunit ribosomal RNA", at positions 355 to 776 of the family's 1533-position model. The record is from RNAcentral.
UGAGGAAUAUUGGUCAAUGGAGGCAACUCUGAACCAGCCAUGCCGCGUGCAGGAAGACUGCCCUAUGGGUUGUAAACUGCUUUUAUACGGGAAGAAACAACUCUACGUGUAGAGUCUUGACGGUACCGUAAGAAUAAGCACCGGCUAACUCCGUGCCAGCAGCCGCGGUAAUACGGAGGGUGCAAGCGUUAUCCGGAAUCAUUGGGUUUAAAGGGUCCGCAGGCGGUCGAUUAAGUCAGAGGUGAAAUCCCAUAGCUUAACUAUGGAACUGCCUUUGAUACUGGUUGACUUGAGUUAUACGGAAGUAGGUAGAAUAAGUAGUGUAGCGGUGAAAUGCAUAGAUAUUACUUAGAAUACCGAUUGCGAAGGCAGCCUACUACGUAUAUACUGACGCUCAUGGACGAAAGCGUGGGGAGCGAACAGG